UUGAAAGGGAAACGAUUGAAGUCAGUCAUACCAACGGGAAAUCAACCUUUUGAGCUUGGUUUCGUGGGUUUUGAAGAGUUUCAAAGCCUUCGGAUUCGCGAGAUUGGGAUCUCUUGGUGUACUUUUUCGUACGGUUAGUCAACAUCGGUUUUGAAUGUCAUAAAAUGACUGGAGGAAUGUAGCUUCGAUCUCGUAUUGAAGUGUUAUAGCCUUUGGUAGAUGUGAUGUUUGAGACCGAGGAUUGCAACGGAUACCCUUCAGGGCUAUUCGUCUGAUCUCUGAUACGUUGCCUUGAUGUUGAAAGCUUGCUUAUGAUGUUAGGGUAUUACGGUCAAAAGGUUAGAACGAAUUACAUUCGUUAAGGAUGUUGACGUA
This 375-nucleotide ribosomal RNA is filed under the name uncultured Glomeromycotina. Its description in RNAcentral is "eukaryotic LSU rRNA". Lineage: Eukaryota; Fungi; Glomeromycota. The record is from RNAcentral.